This 706-nucleotide long non-coding RNA is filed under the name Glycine max (soybean). Its description in RNAcentral is "long non-coding RNA (GMAX_LNC001037)". Lineage: Eukaryota; Viridiplantae; Streptophyta; Magnoliopsida; Fabales; Fabaceae. The record is from RNAcentral.
CUCAUCCAAUCUUGCCCAAAUCAAUUCCUACAAGUCCCAAAUCAUGUAUCAACCAUGUCUAACCCAAAGUCAAGCUUCAAAACACAGCAACACAGAAUCUAGGUGUCCACAACCCCUCAAUUCAAUGGGUUUUCUAGGUUUGAAAAGUGAAAUUUAGAAUGAGGUAAAUUUGAAGCAAACUCUCACCUCACACCAGUCCAUAACAUCUAUUUAGACUUGCUCAAACUGGAUUUACACCUAAAAUCUCACCGAAUUAAAAUUUGACUCUUCAACACCCAAAUUUGCCCUAGAAAUGGCUCUUUGUUCACUUUGGUCAUUUAUUUUUCUCUCUAGCACAGUCCAAGCUUUCUCAUAAGUCCUAAAUGACAUUUCAAGCUAGGAUUAACUCACUUUAACCUCCAUUUACCACAGAAUUCAGACUUAGCCUUCCAACUCUCAACGCCUCACUCUUUUUCCACUCAUAACACCACAUUCUCACUUUCCAACCCUAGGUUAACUCUACAUUUCAUCUCUAACAGUUUUCCAUGGGCAAUUUCAGCAUAUAAACAUCACAAACAUCAUCACAAAAACCCUAAAACAGAAUGGGUAUGUCUAACUCAUCCAAACAUGGCAAUUUCAACAAGCUUUCAACAAAUGUCUUCACAAAUAAUCAUCACACAGCAGAAACCUAGCAAGACUACCCAUCAUAUCUCCCCAAACCCCAUAC